RNAcentral lists this ribosomal RNA (498 nucleotides) under uncultured bacterium. RNAcentral's name for it is "partial 16S ribosomal RNA". It matches the Rfam family "Bacterial small subunit ribosomal RNA", at positions 30 to 523 of the family's 1533-position model. The record is from RNAcentral.
AUUGAACGCUGGCGGCAUGCCUUACACAUGCAAGUCGACCGGUAACAGGUCUUCGGAUGCUGACGAGUGGCGAACGGGUGAGUAAUACAUCGGAACGUGCCUAGUAGUGGGGGACAACUACUCGAAAGAGUGGCUAAUACCGCACGAGCUCUACGGACGAAAGCAGGGGAUCGCAAGACCUUGUGCUACUAGAGCGGCCGAUGGCAGAUUAGGUAGUUGGUGGGAUAACAGCUUACCAAGCCGACGAUCGGUAGCUGUUCUGAGAGGACGAUAAGCGACACUGGGACUGAGACACGGCCCAGACUCCUACGGGAGGCAGCAGUGGGGAAUUUUGGACAAUGGGCGCAAGCCUGAUCCAGCAAUGCCGCGUGCAGGAUGAAGGCCUUCGGGUGGUAAACUGCUUUUGUACGGAACGAAAAGCCCUGGGUUAAUACCCUGGGGUGAUGACGGUACCGUAAGAAUAAGCACCGGCUAACUACGUGCCAGCCGCCGCAGUAA